UACAGAGGUGGCAAGCGUUGUUCGGAAUUACUGGGCGUAAAGGGCGCGUAGGCGGCCGCCUAAGUCAGACGUGAAAUCCCUCGGCUCAACCGGGGAACUGCGUCUGAUACUGGGUGGCUUGAAUCCGGGAGAGGGAUGCGGAAUUCCAGGUGUAGCGGUGAAAUGCGUAGAUAUCUGGAGGAACACCGGUGGCGAAGGCGGCAUCCUGGACCGGUAUUGACGCUGAGGCGCGAAAGCCAGGGGAGCAAACGGG
RNAcentral lists this ribosomal RNA (253 nucleotides) under uncultured bacterium. RNAcentral's name for it is "partial 16S ribosomal RNA". It matches the Rfam family "Bacterial small subunit ribosomal RNA", at positions 524 to 776 of the family's 1533-position model. The record is from RNAcentral.